This 223-nucleotide ribosomal RNA is filed under the name uncultured bacterium. RNAcentral's name for it is "partial 16S ribosomal RNA". It matches the Rfam family "Bacterial small subunit ribosomal RNA", at positions 328 to 539 of the family's 1533-position model. The record is from RNAcentral.
ACGCUCGACACCUACGGGAGGCAGCAGUAGGGAAUCUUCCACAAUGGACGCAAGUCUGAUGGAGCAACGCCGCGUGAGUGAAGAAGGUCUUCGGAUCGUAAAACUCUGUUGUUAGAGAAGAACACGAGUGAGAGUAACUGUCCAUUCGAUGACGGUAUCUAACCAGCAAGUCACGGCUAACUACGUGUCAGCAGCCGCGGUAAUCUGAGCGGGCUGGCAAGGC